RNAcentral lists this ribosomal RNA (1253 nucleotides) under Staphylococcus aureus. RNAcentral's name for it is "partial 23S ribosomal RNA". It matches the Rfam family "Bacterial large subunit ribosomal RNA", at positions 942 to 2196 of the family's 2925-position model. The record is from RNAcentral. Lineage: Bacteria; Bacillati; Bacillota; Bacilli; Caryophanales; Staphylococcaceae.
AAUUCAGACAAACUCCGAAUGCCAAUUAAUUUAACUUGGGAGUCAGAACAUGGGUGAUAAGGUCCGUGUUCGAAAGGGAAACAGCCCAGACCACCAGCUAAGGUCCCAAAAUAUAUGUUAAGUGGAAAAGGAUGUGGCGUUGCCCAGACAACUAGGAUGUUGGCUUAGAAGCAGCCAUCAUUUAAAGAGUGCGUAAUAGCUCACUAGUCGAGUGACACUGCGCCGAAAAUGUACCGGGGCUAAACAUAUUACCGAAGCUGUGGAUUGUCCUUUGGACAAUGGUAGGAGAGCGUUCUAAGGGCGUUGAAGCAUGAUCGUAAGGACAUGUGGAGCGCUUAGAAGUGAGAAUGCCGGUGUGAGUAGCGAAAGACGGGUGAGAAUCCCGUCCACCGAUUGACUAAGGUUUCCAGAGGAAGGCUCGUCCGCUCUGGGUUAGUCGGGUCCUAAGCUGAGGCCGACAGGCGUAGGCGAUGGAUAACAGGUUGAUAUUCCUGUACCACCUAUAAUCGUUUUAAUCGAUGGGGGGACGCAGUAGGAUAGGCGAAGCGUGCGAUUGGAUUGCACGUCUAAGCAGUAAGGCUGAGUAUUAGGCAAAUCCGGUACUCGUUAAGGCUGAGCUGUGAUGGGGAGAAGACAUUGUGUCUUCGAGUCGUUGAUUUCACACUGCCGAGAAAAGCCUCUAGAUAGAAAAUAGGUGCCCGUACCGCAAACCGACACAGGUAGUCAAGAUGAGAAUUCUAAGGUGAGCGAGCGAACUCUCGUUAAGGAACUCGGCAAAAUGACCCCGUAACUUCGGGAGAAGGGGUGCUCUUUAGGGUUAACGCCCAGAAGAGCCGCAGUGAAUAGGCCCAAGCGACUGUUUAUCAAAAACACAGGUCUCUGCUAAACCGUAAGGUGAUGUAUAGGGGCUGACGCCUGCCCGGUGCUGGAAGGUUAAGAGGAGUGGUUAGCUUCUGCGAAGCUACGAAUCGAAGCCCCAGUAAACGGCGGCCGUAACUAUAACGGUCCUAAGGUAGCGAAAUUCCUUGUCGGGUAAGUUCCGACCCGCACGAAAGGCGUAACGAUUUGGGCACUGUCUCAACGAGAGACUCGGUGAAAUCAUAGUACCUGUGAAGAUGCAGGUUACCCGCGACAGGACGGAAAGACCCCGUGGAGCUUUACUGUAGCCUGAUAUUGAAAUUCGGCACAGCUUGUACAGGAUAGGUAGGAGCCUUUGAAACGUGAGCGCUAGCUUACGUGGAGGCGCUGGUGGG